GAAGGUGCUCCCUUUAACGUGGUCUGCCUUUUAUCUACUGAUAAGAACCAUGCUGUGGAAAUACAGCACAGCCAGGCAGACAGCUGGAGCUCAGCCGUCACUGAAGGAGAGCAGCACUGCUUACUGUAUAAGUUCUCUCAUAGAGAUUCCUCCUUCUUUUAACAUGGGGGUCACCAGCUCAGCUAGGUACAACCAUAUGUGGGGUAUAUCUAUGGCCAUAUCGUCUGCCAUCUCCAAGGUAUCUGAAAACCCCUUGAAGAAAUCCUGCUUGCUCAGCUUUCUGGACUGCACCAACUGAUGUAAUAACUGGCCCAUGUGAUCCCUGGUGAUCUGACUCCUCUCCAGCGUCGACUCCAC
This 357-nucleotide long non-coding RNA is filed under the name Gallus gallus (chicken). Lineage: Eukaryota; Metazoa; Chordata; Aves; Galliformes; Phasianidae. The record is from RNAcentral.